RNAcentral lists this long non-coding RNA (185 nucleotides) under Fukomys damarensis (Damara mole-rat). RNAcentral describes it as "lncRNA (ENSFDAG00000023020.1)". The record is from RNAcentral. Lineage: Eukaryota; Metazoa; Chordata; Mammalia; Rodentia; Bathyergidae.
CAAUGAGAUUGGCCUGCCAAGAAUUGUUAGAGUGAAGGUAGAGUCUACUAACAUUUAAAAGCACUGUACUUUUGAUCAUACCUCCUCAAAACACUCACAAAAGAGGAUUUCUAGAUCUACCUCAGAAAGUGGCAAGAACAUGGAAUAAAGUGUGUAUGAGGUGAAGCGAGGUGUUUUGAGGGGGG